This 735-nucleotide ribosomal RNA is filed under the name uncultured Fusobacterium sp. RNAcentral's name for it is "bacterial SSU rRNA". It matches the Rfam family "Bacterial small subunit ribosomal RNA", at positions 28 to 776 of the family's 1533-position model. The record is from RNAcentral. Lineage: Bacteria; Fusobacteriati; Fusobacteriota; Fusobacteriia; Fusobacteriales; Fusobacteriaceae.
GAUGAACGCUGACAGAAUGCUUAACACAUGCAAGUCUACUUGAAUUUGGGUUUUUAACUUAGGUUUGGGUGGCGGACGGGUGAGUAACGCGUAAAGAACUUGCCUCACAGCUAGGGACAACAUUUAGAAAUGAAUGCUAAUACCUAAUAUUAUGAUAAUAGGGCAUCCUAUAAUUAUGAAAGCUAUAUGCGCUGUGAGAGAGCUUUGCGUCCCAUUAGCUAGUUGGAAAGGUAACGGCUCACCAAGGCGAUGAUGGGUAGCCGGCCUGAGAGGGUGAUCGGCCACAAGGGGACUGAGACACGGCCCUUACUCCUACGGGAGGCAGCAGUGGGGAAUAUUGGACAAUGGACCGAGAGUCUGAUCCAGCAAUUCUGUGUGCACGAUGAAGUUUUUCGGAAUGUAAAGUGCUUUCAGUUGGGAAGAAAGAAAUGACGGUACCAACAGAAGAAGUGACGGCUAAAUACGUGCCAGCAGCCGCGGUAAUACGUAUGUCACGAGCGUUAUCCGGAUUUAUUGGGCGUAAAGCGCGUCUAGGUGGUUAUAUAAGUCUGAUGUGAAAAUGCAGGGCUCAACUCUGUAUUGCGUUGGAAACUGUAUAACUAGAGUACUGGAGAGGUAAGCGGAACUACAAGUGUAGAGGUGAAAUUCGUAGAUAUUUGUAGGAAUGCCGAUGGGGAAGCCAGCUUACUGGACAGAUACUGACGCUGAAGCGCGAAAGCGUGGGUAGCAAACAGG